UAACACGAACCGUACAAACGUUAUUCGGAAUUACUGGGCUUAAAGGGUUUGUAGGCGGCCUUGUCAGUCAGGUGUGAAAUCCCUCGGCUCAACCGAGGAACGGCGCUUGAUACUGCAAGGCUUGAGGGAGACAGGGGUAAGCGGAACUGAUGGUGGAGCGGUGAAAUGCGUUGAUAUCAUCAGGAACACCGGUGGCGAAAGCGGCUUACUGGGUCUCUUCUGACGCUGAGGAACGAAAGCUAGGGUAGCGAACGGGAUUAGAUACCCCGGUAGUCCUAGCUGUAAACGAUGAGCACUUGGUUGGGGAUCCUCCCAUAGGUUCUCGACCGUAGCGAAAGUGUUAAGUGCUCCGCCUGGGGAGUAUGGUCGCAAGGCUG
RNAcentral lists this ribosomal RNA (377 nucleotides) under uncultured bacterium. RNAcentral's name for it is "bacterial SSU rRNA". It matches the Rfam family "Bacterial small subunit ribosomal RNA", at positions 521 to 896 of the family's 1533-position model. The record is from RNAcentral.